Molecule: ribosomal RNA, 872 nt
Filed under: uncultured bacterium
Lineage: Bacteria
Description: bacterial SSU rRNA
Rfam family: Bacterial small subunit ribosomal RNA
Source: RNAcentral
GAUGAACGCUGGCGGUCUGCUUAACACAUGCAAGUCGAACGCAACCUUCGGGUUGAGUGGCGGACGGGUGAGUAACGCGUGAGAAUCUGCCUUGGGGUCGGGGACAACCACUGGAAACGGUGGCUAAUACCGGAUACGCCUUCGGGUAAAAGAUUUAUUGCCCUAAGAGGAGCUCGCGUCUGAUUAGCUAGUUGGUGAGGUAAGAGCUCACCAAGGCAGCGAUCAGUAGCUGGUCUGAGAGGACGAUCAGCCACACUGGGACUGAGACACGGCCCAGACUCCUACGGGAGGCAGCAGUGGGGAAUUUUCCGCAAUGGGCGAAAGCCUGACGGAGCAAGACCGCGUGAGGGAGGAAGGCUCUUGGGUUGUAAACCUCUUUUCUCAGGGAAGAAGCUCUGACGGUACCUGAGGAAUCAGCCUCGGCUAACUCCGUGCCAGCAGCCGCGGUAAUACGGAGGAGGCAAGCGUUAUCCGGAAUUAUUGGGCGUAAAGCGUCCGCAGGUGGCGAUUCAAGUCUGCUGUCAAAGCACGGGGCUUAACUCCGUAAAGGCAGUGGAAACUGAAUAGCUAGAGUGCCGUAGGGGUAGAGGGAAUUCCCGGUGUAGCGGUGAAAUGCGUAGAGAUCGGGAAGAACAUCGGUGGCGAAAGCGCUCUACUGGGCGGCAACUGACACUCAGGGACGAAAGCUAGGGGAGCGAAUGGGAUUAGAUACCCCAGUAGUCCUAGCUGUAAACGACGGAUACUAGGUGUAGCUUGUAUCGACCCGAGCUGUGCCGAAGCUAACGCGUUAAGUAUCCCGCCUGGGGAGUACGCACGCAAGUGUGAAACUCAAAGGAAUUGACGGGGGCCCGCACAAGCGGUGGAGUAUGUGG